Molecule: long non-coding RNA, 344 nt
Organism: Liolophura sinensis
Lineage: Eukaryota; Metazoa; Mollusca; Polyplacophora; Chitonida; Chitonidae
Exons: 3
Source: RefSeq, a predicted model, not a curated record
AGGCAAUGCCGUACACAAAUGCCCUCUGGACUAGCCGUUAUCCUAAGCUAGCUCGCAUAGACAGCGACGAACCCAACUUACCCAAAGGAAACGAAAUUUACCAGAACGUCUUCUAUGGAGGAUCGUCGUCUGUAUUUGUGCCUUUAACAGGUUAUGACAGAACUGACUGGUAUAACGUGCAUGGUAACUACCUGUAUGCUAAACCUACUGAUUUUAACCACCAACGAUCUGGAGAUUACCGAGUGGUAUGCCAAGCUGCUCAAUGGGCAACCGCACAAGGAAUCUCUCAACCACCAACUCUAAACGAAAUCGGUCCACAUCUGUCUGUUGGUCCAUCCUUUAAA